RNAcentral lists this transfer RNA (82 nucleotides) under Lachnospiraceae bacterium. RNAcentral describes it as "tRNA-Tyr". It matches the Rfam family "tRNA". From Rfam's summary of the family: Transfer RNA (tRNA) molecules are approximately 80 nucleotides in length. Their secondary structure includes four short double-helical elements and three loops (D, anti-codon, and T loops). Further hydrogen bonds mediate the characteristic L-shaped molecular structure. tRNAs have two regions of fundamental functional importance: the anti-codon, which is responsible for specific mRNA codon recognition, and the 3' end, to which the tRNAs corresponding amino acid is attached (by aminoacyl-tRNA synthetases). tRNAs cope with the degeneracy of the genetic code in two manners: having more than one tRNA (with a specific anti-codon) for a particular amino acid; and 'wobble' base-pairing, i.e. permitting non-standard base-pairing at the 3rd anti-codon position. Lineage: Bacteria; Bacillati; Bacillota; Clostridia; Lachnospirales; Lachnospiraceae. The record is from RNAcentral. RNAcentral also lists the same sequence under 3 other names.
GGAUGGUUUCCCGAGUGGCCAAAGGGGACAGACUGUAAAUCUGCUGGCGAUGCCUUCGGUGGUUCGAAUCCACCACCAUCCA